GGGGUGGUAGCGGCGGUGGCGGCCUUCGGACCCGAUCGUCCUCCCGCAGCGGCCCGCACACAGCCCCGCACACAUUGCUGACCUGUGAGGAUUGUUCAGACGAGACCCCUUUGUUGCCUUGGACGUCAUCUACCUCAAAUUCUCCAGAUCAUUCCCGACGCAAUUCUGAAAAACAUUUUUCAUCACGGGGAGACGAUACUGAGGGUUCUGUCAUGAUACUGGUCACAGUAGGAAGUGGUGAGGGAAAGUUUUCAUAGCUCAGGCUCAAAAUAUGUCCGGAAGUUGGUUCGGGCCAGGAAAAUCCAGCCCACACAGGGCUCUUUCAUGAGCUACUCUAAUACUGGGCCAUCCAAUUUUUGUAUACAGUUCGAUUUCUUGAUUACUGUUCUCUUAAAAUAAAAAAGUUGUUCUCAGCCUA
Ornithorhynchus anatinus (platypus) is the source of this 418-nucleotide long non-coding RNA. RefSeq lists it as uncharacterized. NCBI's taxonomy places the organism in Eukaryota, Metazoa, Chordata, Mammalia, Monotremata, Ornithorhynchidae. The record is from RefSeq and is a predicted model, not a curated record. The transcript is spliced from 2 exons.